AAUGAACGCUGGCGGCGUGCCUAACACAUGCAAGUCGUGCGCGAAAGGGGCUUCGGCCCCGAGUAGAGCGGCAGACGGGUGAGUAACACGUGGGUAACCUGCCCAGAAGUGGGGGAUAACCUGGGGAAACUCGGGCUAAUACCGCAUACGUUCGCGGGGUUCUGCUCCGCGAGGAAAGCCGGCCUAUGCUUGCAAGCUGGCGCUUUUGGAGGGGCCCGCGGCUGAUUAGCUAGUUGGUGGGGUAACGGCCUACCAAGGCUUAGAUGGGUAGCCGGCCUGAGAGGGUGAACGGCCACACUGGGACUGAGACACGGCCCAGACUCCUACGGGAGGCAGCAGUGAGGAAUUUUGCGCAAUGGGGGAAACCCUGACGCAGCGACGCCGCGUGGAGGAUGAAGGCCUUCGGGUCGUAAACUCCUGUCAGAGGUGAAGAAUACCGCAAGGUUGACGGUAACUCAGAGAGCCCGGCUAACUACGUG
This 479-nucleotide ribosomal RNA is filed under the name uncultured bacterium. RNAcentral's name for it is "bacterial SSU rRNA". It matches the Rfam family "Bacterial small subunit ribosomal RNA", at positions 28 to 507 of the family's 1533-position model. The record is from RNAcentral.